AACAUCAUCAACAUUAACAACCAGAUCUUCAGCUUCUUUCCCCUCAAUAUUGUUCACUCUAUGCCCACCAUGCUGAGGCAUAGGGUUGUUUACGACGUUAGGCACUAGAGCGAAGUUGAUUGCCUUGGCAUCGAUCAAAUCUUGGACCUUGUGCUGGAGAGCCCGACACUUCUCAGUAUGAUGCCCUGGUGCCCCAGAGUGNN
Molecule: long non-coding RNA, 203 nt
Filed under: Lathyrus oleraceus (garden pea)
Lineage: Eukaryota; Viridiplantae; Streptophyta; Magnoliopsida; Fabales; Fabaceae
Description: Pisum sativum (pea) long non-coding RNA (PSAT_LNC028078)
Source: RNAcentral